This 1049-nucleotide ribosomal RNA is filed under the name Salmonella enterica. Its description in RNAcentral is "partial 23S ribosomal RNA". It matches the Rfam family "Bacterial large subunit ribosomal RNA", at positions 711 to 1757 of the family's 2925-position model. The record is from RNAcentral. Lineage: Bacteria; Pseudomonadati; Pseudomonadota; Gammaproteobacteria; Enterobacterales; Enterobacteriaceae.
AGACCCGAAACCCGGUGAUCUAGCCAUGGGCAGGUUGAAGGUUGGGUAACACUAACUGGAGGACCGAACCGACUAAUGUUGAAAAAUUAGCGGAUGACCUGUGGCUGGGGGUGAAAGGCCAAUCAAACCGGGAGAUAGCUGGUUCUCCCCGAAAGCUAUUUAGGUAGCGCCUCGUGAAUUCAUCUCCGGGGGUAGAGCACUGUUUCGGCUAGGGGGUCAUCCCGACUUACCAACCCGAUGCAAACUGCGAAUACCGGAGAAUGUUAUCACGGGAGACACACGGCGGGUGCUAACGUCCGUCGUGAAGAGGGAAACAACCCAGACCGCCAGCUAAGGUCCCAAAGUCAUGGUUAAGUGGGAAACGAUGUGGGAAGGCCCAGACAGCCAGGAUGUUGGCUUAGAAGCAGCCAUCAUUUAAAGAAAGCGUAAUAGCUCACUGGUCGAGUCGGCCUGCGCGGAAGAUGUAACGGGGCUAAACCAUGCACCGAAGCUGCGGCAGCGACACUCAGGUGUUGUUGGGUAGGGGAGCGUUCUGUAAGCCUGUGAAGGUGGCCUGUGAGGGUUGCUGGAGGUAUCAGAAGUGCGAAUGCUGACAUAAGUAACGAUAAAGCGGGUGAAAAGCCCGCUCGCCGGAAGACCAAGGGUUCCUGUCCAACGUUAAUCGGGGCAGGGUGAGUCGACCCCUAAGGCGAGGCCGAAAGGCGUAGUCGAUGGGAAACGGGUUAAUAUUCCCGUACUUGGUGUUACUGCGAAGGGGGGACGGAGAAGGCUAUGUUGGCCGGGCGACGGUUGUCCCGGUUUAAGCGUGUAGGUGUGUGUUCCAGGUAAAUCCGGUUCACUUUAACACUGAGGCGUGAUGACGAGGCACUACGGUGCUGAAGCAACAAAUGCCCUGCUUCCAGGAAAAGCCUCUAAGCAUCAGGUAACAUCAAAUCGUACCCCAAACCGACACAGGUGGUCAGGUAGAGAAUACCAAGGCGCUUGAGAGAACUCGGGUGAAGGAACUAGGCAAAAUGGUGCCGUAACUUCGGGAGAAGGCACGCUGACAC